CCUACGGGAGGCAGCAGUGAGGAAUAUUGGUCAAUGGGCGAGAGCCUGAACCAGCCAAGUCGCGUGAGGGAGUACUGCCCUAUGGGUUGUAAACCUCUUUUGUCGGGGAGCAAAAGCCGGACGUGUCCGGCUGUGAGAGUACCCGAAGAAAAAGCAUCGGCUAACUCCGUGCCAGCAGCCGCGGUAAUACGGAGGAUGCGAGCGUUAUCCGGAUUUAUUGGGUUUAAAGGGUGCGCAGGCGGAUUUUUAAGUCAGCGGUAAAAUCGUGGGGCUCAACCCCAUCCAGCCGUUGAAACUGGGGAUCUAGAGUGUGCGAGAGGGAUGCGGAAUGCGUGGUGUAGCGGUGAAAUGCAGAGAUAUCACGCAGAACCCCGAUUGCGAAGGCAGCAUACCGGUGCACAACUGACGCUCAGGCACGAAAGCGUGGGUAUCGAACAGGAUUAGAUACCCUAGUAGUC
Molecule: ribosomal RNA, 458 nt
Filed under: uncultured bacterium
Lineage: Bacteria
Description: partial 16S ribosomal RNA
Rfam family: Bacterial small subunit ribosomal RNA
Source: RNAcentral